Molecule: ribosomal RNA, 1344 nt
Filed under: Triticum aestivum (bread wheat)
Lineage: Eukaryota; Viridiplantae; Streptophyta; Magnoliopsida; Poales; Poaceae
Description: partial small subunit ribosomal RNA
Source: RNAcentral
AUGAAGCCGCCUUUGGAAAGGAACCCAUCCAGGAAGCGCCAUUCAUGGUGGUGGGAUAGUCACAUUAGCCCCAAGAACUCAAAAUGGCUUGCAGAAAACCUCGAAGAAAUGGAUAAGCAAGUGAAGGAAAUGGUGCAGCUUAUUGAGGAAGAUGGCGACUCCUUUGCAAAGAAAGCUCAAAUGUAUUAUCAGAGGCGCCCAGUCCUCGUUACCCAUGUCGAGAACUUCUACCGGAUGUACCGCGCUUUAGCUGAGCGCUACGACAAUGUUACCGGUGAACUGCGCAAGAACAUCCCUUCAAGGAUGCAGUCCCAAGGAUCUUUAUCCGGUUCUGAGUUCGGUUCAGAGCUGCAAAGGUCGCCCACACCAUCUCCUGAGCCCCAGAAGUCCUGGACAAGGGAGCAGAGCCCUAGAGCCGCCGGUUUCAAUUUCUUUCUGAGUAACAAGAGCAAUGACUCACCGUCCUCAAGGAAGGAGCCUGGGUCAGCUUCACAGUCAGAAUCUGACAUGAAGUCUGAAGAUGGUGAGGAUGAUGGCAUUACCUACACAUUGCACCAGAGAGUUCUCGAGCUCGAGGAUGAUCUCAAUGCGGCAAACCGGAAGCUGCUUGACGCAAACGAAAAGCUCGAGGUUUUCGAGGAGAGGAUCCUGAGGUGCCAUUGCGAUUAUAAGGAAAAUGGAAAUGGCGCCGAUCAUGCUACCAAAAUUAGAGACAUUGAUGGAGAGUUCGUGUCAACUAAGGAGAAGCUACAAUCUUCACAAGUGGAGAUCAACAAUCUUGAAAGGAGGCUCGAAGACGCUGCAAUUUUGUCAGAAGAGCACUCCAGGCUGCUGGAACAAAACAAGGGACUGGAAGCUGAAAUUGUGAGUCUGAAGGAAGAGAUGACUUCAGCUAGACGGCGUUUCAACGACAAAAUAUCCGAGAGUGAUGCCGAGAUCAGCCAGUACAGGCAAGAGCUUGCCACCGCGUCCGAGAAGCUGUUGCAGGAGAAGUCCACCAACAGCACAGAGGUAGGAAAGCUGCAAGAAAUGAACCGGAUCACCAGUCUCAAGCUGGAGAAAGUUUCUGAAGAGAAGUCUCUAGUGGAGGACCAGGUGAAGGAGCUGGAGGAGGCGAACGCCGAAGCCGAAAGGCAGAGGCAGGAGCUCGUCCAUGCCGCCGAAAUGCUGUCGGAGGACAAGUUCAGACAUGAAGCUGAGAUCCUGACGAUGCAGCAGAGCAUCGAGGACCUGAAGCCGAAACUUGAGAGCAUCGCAAGAGAGAAAUCGCUGCUGAAACUCUGGUUCGCGGAUCUGGAGCGCGUCGUGGAGCGAGGAAGGAGCGUUGUCAUUCCCCCGGAAUAA